RNAcentral lists this transfer RNA (62 nucleotides) under Mytilus coruscus. Its description in RNAcentral is "tRNA-Thr". Lineage: Eukaryota; Metazoa; Mollusca; Bivalvia; Mytilida; Mytilidae. The record is from RNAcentral.
GUUUUAAAGCUUUGCUGAAGCAACGGUCUUGUAAGCCGUAGAAAACUAUAUGUUUUAAAGCU